This 138-nucleotide small nucleolar RNA is filed under the name Ornithorhynchus anatinus (platypus). Lineage: Eukaryota; Metazoa; Chordata; Mammalia; Monotremata; Ornithorhynchidae. The record is from RNAcentral.
CCCCUCUCAGGGUCGCACCUGGAGAGUUUCCGCUACUCUACCAGUCUCGACUACAGGAGGGAGAGUCAAGUAGAGGCAUAUCCAUUCCAUUCCUAGCUCGGCCAGUGGCUAGCGAGUGGAAGGCAAUCUAUUACAAGU